This 344-nucleotide ribosomal RNA is filed under the name Nephus sp. CO589. Its description in RNAcentral is "partial 12S ribosomal RNA". Lineage: Eukaryota; Metazoa; Arthropoda; Insecta; Coleoptera; Coccinellidae. The record is from RNAcentral.
UUUAAUUAUAAAUUUUAAACUUAAUGAUUAAUAGUUAUGUUCUUUAAAGUUAAAUAAUUUGGCGGUAUUUUAGUCUUUUCAGAGGAACCUGUUCUAUAAUUGAUAAUCCACGUUUAAUAAUACUUAUAUUAGAAAUUUACAUAUCGUCGUUAAAAAUAUUUUUUUAGAAUUAAAUAUUUGGGAUAUAAAAUUUUAUAAAAAUUCAGAUCAAGGUGUAGUUUAUAUAUAAGAAGAAAUGGGUUACAUUAAAUAAAUUUAUGGAUAAAAUUUUUAAAAAAUUUUAGAAAUUGGAUUUGAAAGUAAUUAUAUUUAUAUUUAUAUAAUGAUUAAGCUCUAAAAUAUGU